This 497-nucleotide ribosomal RNA is filed under the name uncultured bacterium. RNAcentral describes it as "partial 16S ribosomal RNA". It matches the Rfam family "Bacterial small subunit ribosomal RNA", at positions 28 to 507 of the family's 1533-position model. The record is from RNAcentral.
GAUGAACGCUGGCGGCGUGCCUAAUACAUGCAAGUCGAGCGAACAGAUGAGGAGCUUGCUCCUCUGACGUUAGCGGCGGACGGGUGAGUAACACGUGGAUAACCUACCUAUAAGACUGGGGUAACUUCGGGAAACCCGAGCUAAUACCGGAUAAUAUAUUGAACCGCAUGGUUCAAUAGUGAAAGACGGUUUUGCUGUCACUUAUAGAUGGAUCCGCGCCGCAUUAGCUAGUUGGUAAGGUAACGGCUUACCAAGGCAACGAUGCGUAGCCGACCUGAGAGGGUGAUCGGCCACACUGGAACUGAGACACGGUCCAGACUCCUACGGGAGGCAGCAGUAGGGAAUCUUCCGCAAUGGGCGAAAGCCUGACGGAGCAACGCCGCGUGAGUGAUGAAGGUCUUCGGAUCGUAAAACUCUGUUAUUAGGGAAGAACAAAUGUGUAAGUAACUAUGCACGUCUUGACGGUACCUAAUCAGAAAGCCACGGCUAACUACGUG